This 497-nucleotide ribosomal RNA is filed under the name uncultured bacterium. Its description in RNAcentral is "partial 16S ribosomal RNA". It matches the Rfam family "Bacterial small subunit ribosomal RNA", at positions 28 to 507 of the family's 1533-position model. The record is from RNAcentral.
GAUGAACGCUGGCGGCGUGCCUAAUACAUGCAAGUCGAGCGAACGGACGAGAAGCUUGCCUCUCUGAUGUUAGCGGCGGACGGGUGAGUAACACGUGGAUAACCUACCUAUAAGACUGGGAUAACUUCGGGAAACCGGAGCUAAUACCGGAUAAUAUUUUGAACCGCAUGGUUCAAAAGUGAAAGACGGUCUUGCUGUCACUUAUAGAUGGAUCCGCGCUGCAUUAGCUAGUUGGUAAGGUAACGGCUUACCAAGGCAACGAUGCAUAGCCGACCUGAGAGGGUGAUCGGCCACACUGGAACGGAGACACGGUCCAGACUCCUACGGGAGGCAGCAGUAGGGAAUCUUCCGCAAUGGGCGAAAGCCUGACGGAGCAACGCCGCGUGAGUGAUGAAGGUCUUCGGAUCGUAAAACUCUGUUAUUAGGGAAGAACAUAUGUGUAAGUAACUGUGCACAUCUUGACGGUACCUAAUCAGAAAGCCACGGCUAACUACGUG